This 467-nucleotide ribosomal RNA is filed under the name uncultured bacterium. RNAcentral's name for it is "partial 16S ribosomal RNA". It matches the Rfam family "Bacterial small subunit ribosomal RNA", at positions 28 to 507 of the family's 1533-position model. The record is from RNAcentral.
GAUGAACGCUGGCGGCGUGCUUAACACAUGCAAGUCGAACGGAAAGGCCCAAGCUUGCUUGGGUACUCGAGUGGCGAACGGGUGAGUAACACGUGGGUGAUCUGCCCUGCACUUCGGGAUAAGCCUGGGAAACUGGGUCUAAUACCGGAUAGGACCACUUCUUGGAUGUUGUGGUGGACAGUUUUUGCGGUGUGGGAUGUGCUCGCGGCCUAUCAGCUUGUUGGUGGGGUAAUGGCCUACCAAGGCGUCGACGGGUAGCCGGCCUGAGAGGGUGUACGGCCACAUUAGGGCUGAGAUACGGCCCAGACUCCUACGGGGGGCAGCAGUGGGGAAGAGUGCACAAUGGGCGCAAGCCUGAUGCAGCGACGCCGCGUGGGGGAUGACGGCCUUCGGGUUGUAACCUGCUUUCGCUAGGGGCGAAGCGUUUUGUGACGGUACCUGGAGAAGAAGCACCGGCUAACUACGUG